AAGGAAACUCGCUCCCUUUUCCACCCUCCCUGAGGCCUCCUGCCCACCAGCCUGCAGACAGCUUGGCGUGGAAAUCUCCACGGGUAGGGACUCGCUGACCCUCCUUCCCUUCUGUAUCUGUAGUGUGUGGGAGGUUCUUGUCACACCCUGUGAAAUAGAUUUUGUUGUUUCAUAUUCUAUGUAAGAAGAAUUCGAGGCUUCAGAGACGUUAAGGGACUUGCUCAGGGUCAUGUAGCCAGUCGGUAGCAGAGGCAGGAUUUAUAGUCCCUGCUUGCUAGGAGAGUGCUGGAUUCAAACCUCCGCCACCUGUGAGGCUAGGGUAGAGCCAGGAUUUGGGAACCUUGCCCUUCCGCGUUGUCCCUCCCCCUCGGCCCUCGGCCCGCCCUCGGGGGGGGGGGCGCGGGCGGGGAAGCCGGAUCCUAGCAUCACUCGGGGGCUAAGUGCAGCACCUAACCGGGCACCCGUAAUCCUGAGGCCUGCUCGCUAGCGACCUCCGGAGGGCUGGGCCGGUUUGGGGUGCGGUGUGGCGAGGGGACCCACCCCGUCUUCCCGACUAUUUGCAUAACGGAGACGGCUCGUUUCCCCCGCCCCUUCGCCGCACUCUUCUUCCCUCCUUCCCGCGUCCGCGCCACCCCUCAUCCCCUGUCCCCCCGCUCCUCCCCAAAGACCCUCCUUCAGGUACUGUUGCGUUGGGGGUCCCAGCUCCCGGGCUCUCUGGCCGCCACCGGGCGAGGAGUCCGGAGGCAUCCGGGGGAGGGGAGUCCCGCGCAGGGCCGGGCUGGAGAAAACGCCUGGGGCACUGCCCCGCGCUAACAAAGGGAACCCGCUGCCUGCCGGCUGGGGCGUGGAGCUGGCUGAGCUGCCGCAGCUUCGGCGGCCGAGAGCGCAGCGAGCAGAGUAGAGUGAACUGUGUAGAGAUCUGCAAAGAGCAGCUUAGAGAGAAGCAGUGA
This 950-nucleotide long non-coding RNA is filed under the name Delphinapterus leucas (beluga whale). RNAcentral describes it as "lncRNA (ENSDLEG00000014300.1)". Lineage: Eukaryota; Metazoa; Chordata; Mammalia; Artiodactyla; Monodontidae. The record is from RNAcentral.